This 713-nucleotide long non-coding RNA is filed under the name Pan troglodytes (chimpanzee). RNAcentral describes it as "long non-coding RNA NONPTRT005538". Lineage: Eukaryota; Metazoa; Chordata; Mammalia; Primates; Hominidae. The record is from RNAcentral.
CAGAGCUCACCCCAUCGUCACACCCUCACAGCCCACCCCAUCAUCACACCCUCACAGCUCACCCCAUCAUCACACCCUCACAGUCCACCCCAUCGUCACACCGUCACAGCUCACCCCAUCAUCACACCCUCACAGUCCACCCCAUCAUCACACUCUCAGAGCCCACCCCAUCAUCACACCCUCACAGCCAACCCCAUCGUCACACCCUCACAGCCCACCCCAUCAUCACACCCUCACAGUCCACCCCAUCAUCACCCCUCACAGCUCACCCCAUCAUCACACCCUCACAGCUCAACCCAUCAUCACACCCUCACAGUCCACCCCAUCAUCACACCCUCAGAGCUCACCCCAUCAUCACACCCUCACAGCUCACCCCAUCAUCACACCCUCACAGCCCACCCCAUGAUCACACCCUCACAGCCCACCCCAUCAUCACACCCUCACAGUCCACCCCAUCAUCACACCCUCACAGCUCACCCCAUCAUCACCCCUCACAGCUCACCCCAUCAUCACACCCUCACAGCUCACCCCAUCAUCACACCCUCACAGCUCACCCCCAUCAUCACACCCUCAAAGCUCACCCCAUCAUCACACCCUCACAGUCCACCCCAUCAUCACACUCUCACAGCUCACCCCAUCGUCACACCCUCACAGCUCACCCCAUCGUCACACCCUCAAAGUCCACCCCAUCCUCACUCCUCACAGCUCACCCC